Molecule: microRNA precursor, 147 nt
Filed under: Vombatus ursinus (common wombat)
Lineage: Eukaryota; Metazoa; Chordata; Mammalia; Diprotodontia; Vombatidae
Description: miRNA (ENSVURG00010013952.1)
Rfam family: mir-1388 microRNA precursor family (bases 45-135)
Source: RNAcentral
UCUACUCAUUGGUCUGUCCCUCUUACCAGAGAGUGGUUUGGAAGCAAUGGAAGGUACAUCUAGGACUGUCUAACCUGAGAAUGGUGAAUCCAAGGUCAAUCUCAGGUUCGUCAGCCCAUGAGGUGCCUUCUCCAGACCUCGAAUCCC